GGCAGUUAGAGGCGAUGAAGGACGUGUAAGUCUGCGAAAAGCUGUGGUGAGCCGACAAAAUGCAUUUGAGCCACAGAUGUCCGAAUGGGGAAACCCACCUGUUUACAGGUAUCGUUAACUGAAUACAUAGGUUAACGAGGCAAACGAGGGGAACUGAAACAUCUAAGUACCCGGAGGAAAAGAAAUCAACCGAGAUUCCCUUAGUAGCGGCGAGCGAACGGGUAACAGCCGAUGGUUUAUGUUGUAGUGGAAUCUUCUGGGAAGUUGAGCGAUACAGGGUGAUAGCCCCGUACACGAAGCAACAUAAAGCACAUAUUAAGUAGGACGGGACACGUGUUAUCUUGUCUGAAGAUGGGGGGACCAUCCUCCAAGGCUAAAUACUCCUAACUGACCGAUAGUGAACCAGUACCGUGAGGGAAAGGUGAAAAGCACCCCGACGAGGGGAGUGAAACAGACCCUGAAACUGGACGCCUACAAGCAGUCGGAGGGCGAAAGCCUGACGGCGUACCUUUUGUAUAAUGGGUCAGCGACUUCGUCUCACGUGCAAGCUUAAGCCGAUAGGUGUAGGCGCAGCGAAAGCGAGUCUGAAUAGGGCGAUUGAGUACGUGGGAUGAGACCCGAAGCCGAGUGAUCUAGCCAUGGGCAGGUUGAAGGUGCGGUAACACGCACUGGAGGACCGAACCCACGUCUGUUGAAAAAGACGGGGAUGACCUGUGGCUAGGGGUGAAAGGCCAAUCAAACUCGGAGAUAGCUGGUUCUCC
This 761-nucleotide ribosomal RNA is filed under the name Scrippsiella trochoidea. RNAcentral's name for it is "partial Bacterial large subunit ribosomal RNA". It matches the Rfam family "Bacterial large subunit ribosomal RNA", at positions 35 to 858 of the family's 2925-position model. Lineage: Eukaryota; Dinophyceae; Peridiniales; Peridiniaceae. The record is from RNAcentral.